Molecule: long non-coding RNA, 329 nt
Organism: Thalassophryne amazonica
Lineage: Eukaryota; Metazoa; Chordata; Actinopteri; Batrachoidiformes; Batrachoididae
Exons: 3
Source: RefSeq, a predicted model, not a curated record
UGACACACUUCCUUAUGGUGGAGGAAUUCAGAAGAUUACUGGAAAAUAGGAGUUUACUCCUGAGUCUGAAUUUAUCUGUCAACAUCACAGACAUUGAUAUCACAACAGUCUGCUCCUUAAAUGGUUCCAGCUUCCAGUGCAGAUGUGAGGAGCAGUUUUCUUGGUCGUAUAACUCUUGUAUAGCAUAUGGAGCCUGUGGUCAGAUAACUAACAAAACGUGUGGAUGCAUCAAUAAUAUUCCAUCUGACGGCCAGUACUGCCAGCCAAAGGAAGAUUCAACCCCUCCUACAACACCAGAUGUGAAUAAAACAGCUGAAACAACACCAGCA